Budorcas taxicolor (takin) is the source of this 72-nucleotide non-coding RNA. NCBI's taxonomy places the organism in Eukaryota, Metazoa, Chordata, Mammalia, Artiodactyla, Bovidae. The record is from the annotation of a RefSeq genome assembly.
UCCCUGGUGGCUCAGAGUAUAAAGCAUCUGCCUCCAAUGCAGGAGACCCAGGUUCAAUUCCUGGCUUGGGAA